Molecule: unclassified non-coding RNA, 313 nt
Organism: Ochotona princeps (American pika)
Lineage: Eukaryota; Metazoa; Chordata; Mammalia; Lagomorpha; Ochotonidae
Gene: 7SK
Rfam family: 7SK RNA
About the family: 7SK was discovered as an abundant small nuclear RNA in the mid-70s but a possible function has only recently been suggested. Two independent studies have found that 7SK RNA binds the CDK9/cyclin T complex (known as elongation factor P-TEFb).
Source: Ensembl
GGAUGUGAGGGCGAUCUGGCUGCGACAUCUGUCACCCCAUUGAUCGCCAGGGUUGAUUAGGCUAAUCUGGCUGGCUAGGUGGGUGUCCCCUUCCUCCCUCACCAUUCCAUGUGCGUCCCUCCCAAAGCUGUGCGCUCGGUCGGAGAGGAUGACUAUCCCCACUAGAGGAGGACAGGUGUUUGGUCAAGGGUAUACAAGUAGCUGCGCUCCUCUCCUAGACCCUCCAAACAAGCUCUCAAAUAUCAAUGACUUACUGGGGUCUGAAUUGUUUCACACCUAAUCAACUAGAAAAUUUUUAAGGGUAAUCUAAUUU